AGAGCCCAAGGACGGGGGCCUACAGAGGAGGUCCAGCCCAGCUGCUGAUGUCCAGGGAGAAAACCUCUGUGAGUGAGAGGCAGAGGGGAUGCUGCCAUGAAGGACACACAGCCUGAGGAUGGGGUGGAGCUGUACAGUCGGGUGAGGCCCCUCCCCUGUCCCGGGCACGAAAGGCCUCCUGGUGCCAGAUCUAAUCCAGCAGGACUUCUCUGUCCUCCUUCCCCCAGCUCCCAGCAUUGUCAUGGUGGACCCCUCCUUGUCCAGCAUGCUGCCUCCCGCCUGCUGGGACCUCACUCUCUCCUGGUGUCCUGGGACCUCGUGGGCCUCCUCCCGGGUCCCCUUCCUGCUCCUCAUCCUCUGUUUGGCCCUCUGGUUGUUAGAGCGCUCCCCAGGCCUCAGGAAGAUGAGGAAUAAAUGAACCACCUUGGUC
RNAcentral lists this small RNA (430 nucleotides) under Pongo abelii (Sumatran orangutan). Its description in RNAcentral is "processed transcript". The record is from RNAcentral. Lineage: Eukaryota; Metazoa; Chordata; Mammalia; Primates; Hominidae.